This 2790-nucleotide long non-coding RNA is filed under the name Olea europaea subsp. europaea. The record is from RNAcentral. Lineage: Eukaryota; Viridiplantae; Streptophyta; Magnoliopsida; Lamiales; Oleaceae.
CUUUCCCAACUCAUUUCCCCUUUCCUUUACGUGUUGUUUUCAUUCUUCUCCUCUUCGCCUAAUCGAUCUUGUUUACAGGUUUCAGCCGAUGACAUCGUCAUCAGUCAGUCAUCUUCAAUUUCCACCCAAACCCUUUUAACCUUCCCUUUUCAAGUGUCUUAAAUUUAAACUUUUCCCAAAUCACCUAUUCGAGUCGUCGAUCGCUACCGCCGCUCUAAUCCCUCUCCAGACCCAAGUAAUUUGACAAUUUCAUAGAUGCACCCAUGAUUAGUACUCCACGUUUACCUCCAACGUAUGGAAGGUUUCUACAUUUAAUGAUCCAAUGAAGGCUUUUGGUUUGUUGAAUUGCUAUUCCUUUUUAUUUCAUACGAACCAAUCACAUCUAAAGCCUACAAUUUUGCUGCCAAAGGUCGAGAGACUUCACAUUGGAUGGUAAGAACAAAUAAUAGUAAUUCUUCAUAUCCUGUCAUUUUAAUGUGCACAAGUUCUUGCAUCCUCUUGUAUAUGGUGAAUAUCUAAAAACGAUGCAGAAUAUUGUUCCGAAAAAGGCAACCAGAGGUUAAGACGGUAAAUGAUCCUUUGAUUUCGUGUGCAUAAAUCAGUACUCCAGUUAUAAUAUGGAACCACAUCGAGAUAAGACAAAGCCCCUUGGCUACCAGUAGGAUUGGGAAGUUGGAUUUCCUUGUAAGAUACUCUCGUGCUUUUGUUUUUGACAUUGGAAUAAAUAUUUACAUAUACUGUAUAAUAUUAGCUUGUCCGUUGCCUCUCCAGAUGCUCGUCAUGUAGUGCCCGCAGUCAUUUCGAGGGUAACUUAGCUCAAACUAUAUAUUCUACAAAACUGAGUCAAACUUUUAUUAAGUACAUUUUGUUGAUAAAAAUGUCACUAUGAAUUAGUUAUAAUUAGGUAGUGUAUGAUUUGACCUAUAUUGUACCGUGGAGUCUGGACAUAGCUAUUAACUAUGUUAAAGAGGGCUUUCGAAGUCCUACCAUGAUUUUUGCUGAGAAUGGUGCAUUUUGUAUUAGAUAUUUAUUCGAGUUAUGUGUUAAGGUGAAAAUUUAUAAAAAAUACUAAAUCACGUUCAUAUGACUAUCAGGAAUGGAUGAUCCAGGGAAUUUAACUCUUAAGGCUUUGAUACCACAAAAAUCAACUACUACAAGAGCUAUUUAGCAGAAUUGAUGAAAACAAUCAUUGAGGAAGCCAACGUGAUCAGGUACUUCCGAUGGACAUUGCUCGAUAAUUUCGAAUGGAGACUCUUUUGCUCUUUUUUUUUUUUUCCUUUUUUUUUGUAUAGAAAAAUACUAUGCUUUUUAUUGAUUGGGUGAUACAAAGAUGGGUUCUUUCAUAGUGUUUUUGGUGUUUUCGUGUACUUUUUUUUCUUUUUCUUUUUAUUAAGGUGUCCCCCUUUGACGACUAUUUCUUAGGUCUGUGAUCCGACCCCUCUUCACACAAACCAAUUAAACUGCGGGAUGUGCCUCCUAUUGAUCAGGGUCCGAGCGCCUCUCCAACUGAACUGUCAAAGUGCCUAGUAAGCCAAAUCACGUUGUGCCUUACCUUCCAAGACAUUUCCGCCUUUCAGGAUAAAUCCUGUCUUCCAGUAUAUGCCUUGCCUUCCAAGAGCCCCACGAAUGGAACCCACGACCUCUGAACUGCCAACCUUGAGAGAAGAUAUGGUAUCCUCGUGAAAUGACAAAACUAGUUAAUUGUUUAGUCCACAUCAUAUAACAUUCCUUUACCGAGUACCGUUAUGGUCCAUUGGAAUUAUUUUGGAAGCAUUUCAAUUAUUUGGAGACAGUUCAAAUGCAUCAUCCAUUGAGACCAACACCUUCUAUGUGUUUAGAAGUUACUAAAUUUUUAAUGAUUAGAAGUGUUGGAUGUUUUUUGAUUCUCUGUUGCGUGCGUAGUUGACUUAGUAACAAUGCUUCUGUCUUUCAUAAGCUUCACUAUCAUCGCUUAUACACCAUUUGAAUAAUGAUGUCUCAAGUCUUAUACUUACAUAAUCCUAGUUUGUUGGUUGUAUUUUUUUAAAAUAAUAUUUUAUACGCUUUCCUAGAAAUUGGUGUUUGGUAAAGUUGAUUCUGUAUUAUAUGUUUCUUCUCAUAAUCAAGGCUUACUUUGUCAAUUGCAUUAUUGAUCAUUUUUCUUACGGUUUAUGAUUUGAAAUUCGUACUAUUAUUGAUUGCUAUUAUGUUAUAUUCCACUAUCUUUAUUGAACGCAAUGGAGAUUGCCCAUGCCAUCAGAAAGCUGCCUCCUACCAAGGCUAAGAGGUAUUUAUAGGACAUAUUGAUCCACAAACAACCCAUACCCUUCACUCGUUUCUGUCCAGGUAUUGGACGAACAACUCAGGUGAAAAACAGACACUGUAAAGAUAGUCGAUGCAGCUUGAAUGAAGAUGGAACAAAGGAUGCAAAACAAGCUGGAGGUUGUCGAGCAACAAUUCAAUUCUACGUUGUAGUCUUCGCAUCAUUCUAUGCACCAGCUAUUUGGUAAAGUUCCUAGUUUCAUUGUACCACCAUUUACACCAUUGUCAAUAGAGAAUAACGCUAUGAGGAAGAUGAAUGUUAUUGAGUACGAAGAGAAUAACUUUGGUGAGGAUCGGUUGCAUAUCCAAUUCACGAGGAUGAAGAGUUAUUUCUUUAAGUGCAUUAUAAUUCAUGUUUGCUAUACCUUUUUUCUUUUUCUUUUUUUAAAUUUAAAUGUAAUCAUACUUAGUGAAUGGUUUUUAUUUGUGUUUCAAUGAAAUAUUUUGGAUUCAAUGUUAGAUUGAUUGACACUAUAUGUCUUAAUUUAA